Molecule: ribosomal RNA, 216 nt
Filed under: uncultured bacterium
Lineage: Bacteria
Description: partial 16S ribosomal RNA
Rfam family: Bacterial small subunit ribosomal RNA
Source: RNAcentral
GUCCCAGUUCGGAUUGUAGUCUGCAACCCGGCUACAUGAAGCUGGAAUCGCUAGUAAUCGCGGAUCAGCAUGUCGCGGUGAAUACGUUCCCGGGCCUUGUACACACCGCCCGUCACACCAUGAGAGUUUGUAACACCCAAAGCCGGUGGGGUAACCUUUUGGAGCCAGCCGUCUAAGGUGGGACAGAUGAUUAGGGUGAAGUCGUAACAAGGUAUC